UUCAAAAAAAUAGCUACAUCUUGUAUAAGUCCAGGAAUAUGGCUUGGACGUUUCUACCAGCUACCAUAAAUAGCUUGUCUACAAGGGAUGGAAAUGUAUUU
Regulatory RNA element from Oceanobacillus picturae, 101 nucleotides. It matches the Rfam family "Purine riboswitch aptamer". Rfam says of the family: Riboswitches are metabolite binding domains within certain messenger RNAs that serve as precision sensors for their corresponding targets. Allosteric rearrangement of mRNA structure is mediated by ligand binding, and this results in modulation of gene expression. The record is from Rfam. Lineage: Bacteria; Bacillati; Bacillota; Bacilli; Caryophanales; Bacillaceae.